Molecule: ribosomal RNA, 442 nt
Filed under: uncultured bacterium
Lineage: Bacteria
Description: partial 16S ribosomal RNA
Rfam family: Bacterial small subunit ribosomal RNA
Source: RNAcentral
CCUACGGAGGCAGCAGUGGGGAAUAUUGGGCAAUGGAGGCAACUCUUACCCAGCAACGCCGCGUGAAUGAUGAAGGUCUUCGGAUUGUAAAGUUCUGUGACGGGGGAUGAACACAAUGACGGUACCCCAAUAGCAAGCCACGGCUAACUACGUGCCAGCAGCCGCGGUAAUACGUAGGUGGCAAGGGUUAUCCGGAAUGACUGGGGGUAAAGGGUGCGUAGGUGGUUUAGUAAGUUGGCGGUGUAAUUCCGGGGCUCAACCUCGGCGCUACCGCCAAAACUAUUAGACUAGAGUGCAGGAGGGGUAAGUGGAAUUCCUAGUGUAGCGGUGGAAUGCGUAGAUAUUAGGAGGAACAUCAGGGGCGAAGGCGAGUUACUGGACUGUAACUGACACUGAGGCACGAAAGCGUGGGGAGCAAACAGGAUUAGAUACCCCGGUAGUC